GUGGUUUAGUGGCUAGAGCGUCCUCCUUGAAUGCGGAAGGUCGUGGGUUCGUUCCCCGGUCAAGUCA
Molecule: non-coding RNA, 67 nt
Organism: Potamilus streckersoni
Lineage: Eukaryota; Metazoa; Mollusca; Bivalvia; Unionida; Unionidae
Source: the annotation of a GenBank genome assembly